Molecule: ribosomal RNA, 140 nt
Filed under: Raillietina beveridgei
Lineage: Eukaryota; Metazoa; Platyhelminthes; Cestoda; Cyclophyllidea; Davaineidae
Also listed under: 1 other name
Description: partial 5.8S ribosomal RNA
Rfam family: 5.8S ribosomal RNA (bases 1-96)
About the family: 5.8S ribosomal RNA (5.8S rRNA) is a component of the large subunit of the eukaryotic ribosome. It is transcribed by RNA polymerase I as part of the 45S precursor that also contains 18S and 28S rRNA.
Source: RNAcentral
UGAAUUAGUGUGAAUCGCAGACUGCUUUGAACAUCGACAUCUUGAACGCAUAUUGCGGCCAUAGGCUUGCCUGUGGCCACGUCUGUCCGAGCGUCGGCUUGUAAACUAUCACUGCGCGUUAUAAGCAGUGGCUUGGGAGA